This 992-nucleotide ribosomal RNA is filed under the name Vibrio sp. RNAcentral describes it as "bacterial SSU rRNA". It matches the Rfam family "Bacterial small subunit ribosomal RNA", at positions 1 to 890 of the family's 1533-position model. The record is from RNAcentral. Lineage: Bacteria; Pseudomonadati; Pseudomonadota; Gammaproteobacteria; Vibrionales; Vibrionaceae.
CUCCUAACAACACCUCCAGAAUCCAAGAAGUAGUUAAGAUUUUCUGGGUGUCAUGGAUUUAUACCUAAUUUUCCCUGGUUUUUUGGGCCCUAGAGUUUGAUCAUGGCUCAGAUUGAACGCUGGCGGCAGGCCUAACACAUGCAAGUCGAGCGGAAACGAGUUAUCUGAACCUUCGGGGGACGAUAACGGCGUCGAGCGGCGGACGGGUGAGUAAUGCCUAGGAAAUUGCCCUGAUGUGGGGGAUAACCAUUGGAAACGAUGGCUAAUACCGCAUAAUGCCUACGGGCCAAAGAGGGGGACCUUCGGGCCUCUCGCGUCAGGAUAUGCCUAGGUGGGAUUAGCUAGUUGGUGAGGUAAGGGCUCACCAAGGCGACGAUCCCUAGCUGGUCUGAGAGGAUGAUCAGCCACACUGGAACUGAGACACGGUCCAGACUCCUACGGGAGGCAGCAGUGGGGAAUAUUGCACAAUGGGCGCAAGCCUGAUGCAGCCAUGCCGCGUGUGUGAAGAAGGCCUUCGGGUUGUAAAGCACUUUCAGUCGUGAGGAAGGUAGUGUAGUUAAUAGCUGCAUUAUUUGACGUUAGCGACAGAAGAAGCACCGGCUAACUCCGUGCCAGCAGCCGCGGUAAUACGGAGGGUGCGAGCGUUAAUCGGAAUUACUGGGCGUAAAGCGCAUGCAGGUGGUUUGUUAAGUCAGAUGUGAAAGCCCGGGGCUCAACCUCGGAAUUGCAUUUGAAACUGGCAGACUAGAGUACUGUAGAGGGGGGUAGAAUUUCAGGUGUAGCGGUGAAAUGCGUAGAGAUCUGAAGGAAUACCGGUGGCGAAGGCGGCCCCCUGGACAGAUACUGACACUCAGAUGCGAAAGCGUGGGGAGCAAACAGGAUUAGAUACCCUGGUAGUCCACGCCGUAAACGAUGUCUACUUGGAGGUUGUGGCCUUGAGCCGUGGCUUUCGGAGCUAACGCGUUAAGUAGACCGCUUGGGGGACGGCCCCG